RNAcentral lists this ribosomal RNA (376 nucleotides) under uncultured bacterium. RNAcentral describes it as "partial 16S ribosomal RNA". It matches the Rfam family "Bacterial small subunit ribosomal RNA", at positions 30 to 402 of the family's 1533-position model. The record is from RNAcentral.
AUUGAACGCUGGCGGCAUGCCUAACACAUGCAAGUCGAACGGUAACAGGCCCUUCGGGGUGCUGACGAGUGGCGGAUGGGUGAGUAAUACUUAGGAAUCUACCCUGUAGUGGGGGACGAACCCGGGGAAACUCGGGCUAAUACCGCAUACACUCUACGGAGGAAAGCGGGGGACCGGCAAGGCCUCGCGCUAUUGGAUGAGCCUAAGCCCGAUUAGCUAGUUGGUGGGGUAAAUAGCCUACCAAGGCAGUGAUCGGUAGCUGGUCUGAGAGGACGACCAGCCACACUGGGACUGAGACACGGCCCAGACUCCUACGGGAGGCAGCAGUGGGGAAUAUUGGACAAUGGGCGAAAAGCCUGAUCCAGCGAUGCCGCGU